GCCUAAAGCGUCCGUAGCCGGCUUUGUAAGUUUUCGGUUAAAUCUAUAUGCUCAACAUAUAGGCUGCCGGGAAUACUGCAAAGCUAGGGAGUGGGAGAGGUAGACGGUACUCCGUAGGAAGGGGUAAAAUCCUUUGAUCUAUGGAUGACCACCUGUGGCGAAGGCGGUCUACCAGAACACGUUCGACGGUGAGGGAUGAAAGCUGGGGGAGCAAACCGGAUUAGAUACCCGGGUAGUCCCAGCUGUAAACUAUGCAAACUCAGUGAUGCAUUGGCUUGUGGCCAGUGCAGUGCCGCAGAGAAGUCGUUAAGUUUGCCGCCUGGGAAGUACGUACGCAAGUAUGAAACUUAAAGGAAUUGGCGGGGGAGCACCACAAGGGGUGAAGCCUGCGGUUUAAUUGGAGUCAACGCCAGAAAUCUUACCCGGAGAGACAGCAGGAUGAAGGUCAAGCUGAAGACUUUACCAGACAAGCUGAGAAGUGGUGCAUGGCCGUCGCCAGCUCGUGCCGUGAGGUGUCCUGUUAAGUCAGGUAACGAGCGAGAUCCUUGCCUCUAGUUGCCACCAUUACUCUCAGGAGUAGUGGGGCGAAUUAGCGGGACUGCCGUAGUUAAUACGGAGGAAGGAGAGGGCCACGGCAGGUCAGUAUGCCCCGAA
Molecule: ribosomal RNA, 654 nt
Filed under: uncultured archaeon
Lineage: Archaea
Description: bacterial SSU rRNA
Rfam family: Archaeal small subunit ribosomal RNA
Source: RNAcentral